GACGAACGCUGGCGGCGUGCUUAACACAUGCAAGUCGAACGGCAAGGCCCUGCUUUUGUGGGGUUCUCGAGUGGCGAACGGGUGCGUAACACGUGAGUAACCUGCCCUUGACUUUGGGAUAACUUCAGGAAACUGGGGCUAAUACCGUAUAGGAGCUCCUGCUCCAUUGUGGGGGUUGGAAAGUUUCGGCGGUUGGGGAUGGAUUCGCGGCUUAUCAGCUUGUUGGUGGGGUAGUGGCUUACCAAGGCUUUGACGGGUAGCCGGCCUGAGAGGGUGAACGGGCACAUGGGGACUGAGAUACGGCACAGACGCGUACGGGAGGCAGCAGUGGGGAAUAUUGCACAGUGGGCGGAAGCGUGAUGCAGAAACGCCGGGGGCGGGAUGACGGCCUUCGGGUUGUAAACCGCUGUCGCCUGUGACGAAGCGGGAGUGACGGUAAUGGGUAAAGAAGCACCGGCUAACUACGUG
RNAcentral lists this ribosomal RNA (468 nucleotides) under uncultured bacterium. Its description in RNAcentral is "partial 16S ribosomal RNA". It matches the Rfam family "Bacterial small subunit ribosomal RNA", at positions 28 to 507 of the family's 1533-position model. The record is from RNAcentral.